RNAcentral lists this non-coding RNA (28 nucleotides) under Homo sapiens (human). The record is from RNAcentral. Lineage: Eukaryota; Metazoa; Chordata; Mammalia; Primates; Hominidae.
UGCAGACUAUCUACCUGCAUUGGCUGUC